This 429-nucleotide ribosomal RNA is filed under the name Actinomycetes bacterium. Its description in RNAcentral is "Actinobacteria bacterium partial 16S ribosomal RNA". It matches the Rfam family "Bacterial small subunit ribosomal RNA", at positions 355 to 776 of the family's 1533-position model. The record is from RNAcentral. Lineage: Bacteria; Bacillati; Actinomycetota; Actinomycetes.
UAGGGAAUCUUCCGCAAUGGGCGAAAGCCUGACGGAGCAACGCCGCGUGAGUGAUGAAGGUCUUCGGAUCGUAAAACUCUGUUAUUAGGGAAGAACAAAUGUGUAAGUAACUAUGCACGUCUUGACGGUACCUGAUCAGAAAGCCACGGCUAACUACGUGCCAGCAGCCGCGGUAAUACGUAGGUGGCAAGCGUUAUCCGGAAUUAUUGGGCGUAAAGCGCGCGUAGGCGGUUUUUUAAGUCUGAUGUGAAAGCCCACGGCUCAACCGUGGAGGGUCAUUGGAAACUGGAAAACUUGAGUGCAGAAGAGGAAAGUGGAAUUCCAUGUGUAGCGGUGAAAUGCGCAGAGAUAUGGAGGAACACCAGUGGCGAAGGCGACUUUCUGGUCUGUAACUGACGCUGAUGUGUGAAAGCGUGGGGAUCAAACAGG